AAUAUGUGCUUAUUCUGAGGGGUUGUUUGAUUGCAUAUAAUUGUAACUGCACGGUAGCUGUAACUGCAUGCAAAUACAAAUUCGGUAUUUGGUUUGAUAUAUUUAACUCCAACUACUCCAAUGGAAACUGCAGGAGAAGGUCCAACUGCAACACUUGGAACUACGUCCAAAUUGGCCGCAAUUCCAACUGUAGCAGCUGGGGAGAGUAACUUUAAACAAAAGUUAACCUUAUUUUUCUUAAAUAUUUUUUAAACAAAAAAUAAUUUUUUUUACAUUUUAGAUAAUCUCAUCAUCAUAUAUAUAAAAUGAUAAAAUUUUAAAAAUUAUUUCUCAACUGCAUGCAACUAAACAAAUUAUUUGUAGUUGCAGCGAUUUCUACUACAUCCAACCAAACAUAAUAUAUAUAGUUAUAAUUGCUGCAUUUUCAAUUGUAUGUAUCUCCAACUACACUGCAUUUGUAAUUAAAACCAAAUCGGUGCCCAACGAUCAUCUGGCGUUAGUUUU
Molecule: long non-coding RNA, 504 nt
Filed under: Ananas comosus (pineapple)
Lineage: Eukaryota; Viridiplantae; Streptophyta; Magnoliopsida; Poales; Bromeliaceae
Description: long non-coding RNA (ACOM_LNC014621)
Source: RNAcentral